RNAcentral lists this ribosomal RNA (1392 nucleotides) under Vibrio cholerae. RNAcentral's name for it is "partial 23S ribosomal RNA". It matches the Rfam family "Bacterial large subunit ribosomal RNA", at positions 1577 to 2925 of the family's 2925-position model. Lineage: Bacteria; Pseudomonadati; Pseudomonadota; Gammaproteobacteria; Vibrionales; Vibrionaceae. The record is from RNAcentral.
CUACGGCAGUGAAGUCAUUGAUGCCAUGCUUCCAGGAAAAGCCUCUAAGCUUCAGAUAGUCAGGAAUCGUACCCCAAACCGACACAGGUGGUCGGGUAGAGAAUACCAAGGCGCUUGAGAGAACUCGGGUGAAGGAACUAGGCAAAAUGGUACCGUAACUUCGGGAGAAGGUACGCUCUUGAUGGUGAAGUCCCUCGCGGAUGGAGCUGACGAGAGUCGCAGAUACCAGGUGGCUGCAACUGUUUAUUAAAAACACAGCACUGUGCAAAAUCGCAAGAUGACGUAUACGGUGUGACGCCUGCCCGGUGCCGGAAGGUUAAUUGAUGGGGUUAGCGCAAGCGAAGCUCUUGAUCGAAGCCCCGGUAAACGGCGGCCGUAACUAUAACGGUCCUAAGGUAGCGAAAUUCCUUGUCGGGUAAGUUCCGACCUGCACGAAUGGCGUAAUGAUGGCCACGCUGUCUCCACCCGAGACUCAGUGAAAUUGAAAUCGCUGUGAAGAUGCAGUGUACCCGCGGCUAGACGGAAAGACCCCGUGAACCUUUACUACAGCUUGGCACUGAACAUUGAACCUACAUGUGUAGGAUAGGUGGGAGGCUAUGAAGACGUGACGCCAGUUGCGUUGGAGCCGUCCUUGAAAUACCACCCUUGUAUGUUUGAUGUUCUAACUUAGCCCCAUUAUCUGGGGUGAGGACAGUGCCUGGUGGGUAGUUUGACUGGGGCGGUCUCCUCCCAAAGAGUAACGGAGGAGCACGAAGGUGGGCUAAUCACGGUUGGACAUCGUGAGGUUAGUGCAAUGGCAUAAGCCCGCUUAACUGCGAGAAUGACGGUUCGAGCAGGUGCGAAAGCAGGUCAUAGUGAUCCGGUGGUUCUGUAUGGAAGGGCCAUCGCUCAACGGAUAAAAGGUACUCCGGGGAUAACAGGCUGAUACCGCCCAAGAGUUCAUAUCGACGGCGGUGUUUGGCACCUCGAUGUCGGCUCAUCACAUCCUGGGGCUGAAGUCGGUCCCAAGGGUAUGGCUGUUCGCCAUUUAAAGUGGUACGCGAGCUGGGUUUAGAACGUCGUGAGACAGUUCGGUCCCUAUCUGCCGUGGGCGUUGGAAGAUUGAAGGGGGCUGCUCCUAGUACGAGAGGACCGGAGUGGACGAACCUCUGGUGUUCGGGUUGUGUCGCCAGACGCAUUGCCCGGUAGCUAAGUUCGGAAUUGAUAAGCGCUGAAAGCAUCUAAGCGCGAAGCGAGCCCUGAGAUGAGUCUUCCCUGACGGUUUAACCGUCCUAAAGGGUUGUUCGAGACUAGAACGUUGAUAGGCAGGGUGUGUAAGCGUUGUGAGGCGUUGAGCUAACCUGUACUAAUUGCCCGUGAGGCUUAACCAUACAACACCCAAGGGGUUUUGUA